UACGGAGAGUGCAAGCGUUGUUCGGAAUUACUGGGCUUAAAGCGCGUGUAGGCGGGGUAUCAGGUGCUUCGUGAAAGCCCCGGGCUCAACCCGGGAAUUGCGGUGCAAACCGAUAUUCUUGAGGCAGGUAGAGGUGACUGGAACAACUGGUGGAGCGGUGAAAUGCGUAGAUAUCAGUUGGAACGCCGGCGGCGAAAGCGAGUCACUGGGCCUGUCCUGACGCUGAGACGCGAAAGCGUGGGGAGCGAACGGG
This 253-nucleotide ribosomal RNA is filed under the name uncultured bacterium. Its description in RNAcentral is "partial 16S ribosomal RNA". It matches the Rfam family "Bacterial small subunit ribosomal RNA", at positions 524 to 776 of the family's 1533-position model. The record is from RNAcentral.